GAAAGUUCUUGAUGUUCUUGGUGU
This 24-nucleotide non-coding RNA is filed under the name Rattus norvegicus (Norway rat). The record is from RNAcentral. Lineage: Eukaryota; Metazoa; Chordata; Mammalia; Rodentia; Muridae.